This 3002-nucleotide ribosomal RNA is filed under the name bacterium. RNAcentral describes it as "23S ribosomal RNA". It matches the Rfam family "Bacterial large subunit ribosomal RNA". The record is from RNAcentral.
GAAAUUGAAAAGGGCGUAUGGUGGAUGCCUUGGCAUCAAGAGGCGAUGAAGGAGGCGGAAGACUGCCAAAAGCUUCGGGGAGCUGUCAAUCAAGCUUUGAUCCGGAGGUUUCCGAAUGGGGAAACCCACCUAGGUAAAGCCUAGGUAUCUUUAACUGAAUACAUAGGUUAAAGAGGUUAACGACGUGAAUUGAAACAUCUUAGUAGCGUCAGGAAAAGAAAACGAAGUGAUUCCCUGAGUAGUGGUGAGCGAAAUGGGAAGAGCCUAAACCUGUACUGUGUAAGCUGGCAUGCGUUGCAGUGCGGGGGUUGUGGGAUGUAAUUUACAUACAGUGCCAUGUAUGUGCCAUUAAUUUACUACGCUAGCUGAAUUGUCCUGGAAAGGACAGCCACAGAAAGUGAUAGCCUUGUAAGCGAAAGCCUAGUAAAAUGGUGAUUACACACCCGAGUACCGUAGAGCACGUGAAAUUCUGCGGGAAUCUGCCCAGACCAAUGGGUAAGGCUAAAUACUACUUGAUGACCGAUAGUGUACAAGUACCGUGAGGGAAAGUUGAAAAGAACCCCGGAAGGGGAGUGAAAUAGAUCCUGAAACCAUAUGUUUACAAGCGGUGGUAGCGAUGUAUACGUACGCGCAACCACGUACCUUUUGCAUAAUGGGCCAACGAGUUACUAUGCGUUGCAAGGUUAAGCUUAGAAAGAGCGGAGCCGUAGCGAAAGCGAGUCUGAAUAGGGCGAUUUAGUAACGUAGAGUAGACCCGAAACCUAGUGAGCUAUCCAUGUCCAGGAUGAAGUCUCAGUUACAUGAGAUGGAGGUCCGAACCGGUGUAGGUUGAAAACUGCUCGGAUGAGGUGUGGAUAGGGGUGAAAGGCCAAUCAAACUAGGAAAUAGCUGGUUCUCUCCGAAAUAUAUUUAGGUAUAGCCUUGUUGAAUUCAUCGUGGUGGUAAAGCACAGUUGGAGCUUUGGGGGCGUAAGCUUACCGGGUUCUUACUAACUCUGAAUGCUACGAUGUUAGAAGACAGGAGUCAGACUGCGGGAGAUAAGUUCCGUAGUCGAGAGGGAAACAGCCCAGACCAUCAGCUAAGGUCCCUAAGCGUUCGUUAAGUGGGAAAAGAAGUGGAAAUACACAGACAACCAGGAGGUUGGCUUAGAAGCAGCCAUCCUUUAAAGAAAGCGUAACAGCUCACUGGUCGAGUGUUUUUGCGCUGAAAUAAGAACGGGGCUCAAACGAACCACCGAAGCUAUGGCUUUCAUGCUUGCAUGGAGGGGUAGGAGAGCGUUCUUUGACAGAUACUAGCCUGACUGUGAAGACAGGUGUGUGGUCAAAGAAGCGAUUAUGUUGGCAUAAGUAACGAAAAAACAGGUGAGAUUCCUGUUCGCCGAAAAUCUAAGGUUUCCGUGAGAUCGGUUUAUCCUCUCAGGGUUAGUCGACCCCUAAGCCGAGGCCAGUUGGCGUAGGCGAUGGGAAACGGGUUAAUAUUCCCGUACCAUUUGACAGCAUUUGAGCGAAGGGGGGACGCAGUAGGGUAGGUUUACUUGGGGUAUGGAUUUCCAAGUUAAGCACAAAGAGGGUUCUGGUAGGUAAAUCCGCCGGAGCAUAACCUUGAAGUGUUAUGAGCAUGUCAGCCACUUGUGGCAGGCGUGUUAAGCUGAUCCCACACUGACUAGAAAAUCCUCUAGCGAGUUGAUCAAAUGAUCGUACCGCAUACCGACACAGGUAGAUGGGCUGAGAAUGCUCAGGCGUUGAGAGAAUUAUCAUUAAGGAACUCGGCAAAAUGGCCCCGUAACUUUGGGAUAAGGGGUGCCCGGGAGGUUCUCGAUUUUACGAUUGAGUGCGUCCUUGGGUUACAAUAAAGAGGCCCAACCGACUGUUUAGCAAAAACACAGGGCUCUGCAAACUCGAAAGAGGAAGUAUAGAGUCUGACACCUGCCCAGUGCCGGAAGGUUAACAGGAGGGGUUAGUCUUCGGACGAAGCUCUGAAUCGAAGCCCCGGUAAACGGCGGCCGUAACUCUGACGGUCCUAAGGUAGCGAAAUACCUUGUCGGGUAAGUUCCGACGUGCAUGAAUGGUGUAACGAGUUGGGCGCUGUCUUAAUGAUACACUCAGUGAAAUUGUAGUAUCGGUGAAAAUGCCGGUUACCCGCGACAGGACGGAAAGACCCCGUGCACCUUUACUAUAGCUUGACAUUGAUUUUUGGAUUGAUUUGUGUAGGAUAGGCGGGAGACUAUGAAACUGGGACGCUAGUCCUAGUGGAGUCAUACUUGAAAUACCGCUCUUAUCCGUUUGGAAAUCUAACUUUGAAUGCCCGUUAACCGGGCAAAGGACAGUGUCUGGUGGGUAGUUUGACUGGGGUGGUCGCCUCCUAAAUUGUAACGGAGGCAUUCUAAGGUUCACUCAAGACGAAUAGAAAUCGUCUGAAGAGCGCAAAGGCACAAGUGAGCUUAACUGUGAGACCUACAAGUCGAUCAGAUGCGAAAGCAGGACUUAGUGAUCCAGCGGUACCGAGUGGAAGGGCCGUUGCUAAAUGGAUAAAAGGUACGCCGGGGAUAACAGGCUUAUCUCCUCUGAGAGUCCACAUCGACGAGGAGGUUUGGCACCUCGAUGUCGGAUCAUCGCAUCCUGGGGCUGAAGAAGGUCCCAAGGGUUUGGCUGUUCGCCAAUUAAAGCGGUACGUGAUCUGGGUUCAGAACGUCGUAAGACAGUUCGGUCCUUAUCCGUCGUGGGCGUAGGGUAUUUGAAGGAAGCUGUUCCUAGUACGAGAGGACCGGAAUGGGCGAGCCGAUGGUGUUCCAGUUGUUUACCAAAAGCAGCGCUGGGUAGCUAAGCUCGUAAGAGAUAACCGCUGAAAGCAUCUAAGUGGGAAACUCGACCUAAGAUAAGAUACCCCGAAUAACUUCGGUUAUUCAUAAGACUCCUUGAAGACUAUGAGGUUGAUAGGCUGGAGGUGCAAGCACAGUAAUGUGUUCAGCUGACCAGUACUAAUAAGUCGAACGUUUUUACCUG